AGCACGAGUCUGCGCAGUAGUUAAUUUAGCACGAACUGGGGCGCACGUGGUUAAAAUUCCUGCAGUGACACAUCUCGCAUUAAGUCACAAGCUAAAAAACAAACUACUUUUCUAAAAAGAAAAAUACAAUUUGAGUAGGCUAAACCUCAGUCUGAUAUAACGAAAUAGCUAACCAAAAGGACAGAAACCACAUUUGGGAAAAACGCUGUGUGACGCGGAUUAUGACUAAACAUACUCAAACUGCAGACGUCCACUGGGAGUGAAAUAUUUUGGCUUCUCGUUUUCAGCACGUGUGGGGCACACUUGGACAUAAUCAGCAACAGCUUCACAGCAUGUGUGGCAACGUCAUUCACGGUGUGGACUCUCCUUGUCUCUCCUGUUCAAUAGCUGCAGAAAAAAGACAGACCUUGAGAUGUGCUUGAUGUGAACGGAGAUCAGAAUGGCUUUAUUCUCCAGCACAAGAGAAAAGUGGACCCAGAGAGACACAAACGUUGUGCUAAACUCUGAAGCACACCAGCAUUUUCCAGAAACUGCAUUAGAACAUGCGAAUGACAGUUAAGCUAACUUGCAGCAAGUCGUGUUCCCAAUUCCCAUAAGGCAUUUUUUGGCACUUGGCAGUGCAGCCUAGUAAACCACAGGGAAGCUAACGGAUUUCCUUCUUCUGUUGGUGAGCCGAGAGGGACUGGAGAUCCACCACACUGUAAUUGCUCUGUGUCAUGGAUGUUAAUGUCAUUACAUCCUGCAGCUGAUGAAGCCAGUUAUGCCGUCUUAAUUACAUAGGCCUGUGUCACUGUUAAUAUAAUCUAAUCUCAGUGGACAACACUCACUUACAGCCCAAUCUUAUGGUUAUAUUAAAUCAUUGCAGUUCCAUUAAGGUGAGACACUGGUAUGCAUAGUACACAGUUUUUUAUAAUAUUUUAAGAUUUUUUUGGCUUUCAUUUAUUGCACUUUAACAAUUUGUAUCUGUAGAUUUAAAUCUUUGAUGCAUACACUCACACCAGUGUGAUCAGUAUUGGCUGGUUAUAUUAAAUCAUUGCAGUUACAUUAAAGUGAGACACUGGUAAGCAUAGUACUGUUUUUUCAUAACAAUUUUGAGAUUUUCUGGCUUUCAUUUAUAGCACUUUAACAAUUUGUGUUUUUAGACUUAAAUCUUUGAUGCAUAAGUGUAUCAUAAGACCAGAUGCUAAAUUCAAAUCUGUUUUCCUGCAAUGGCUUGUGCUAAAUCAGAGAUAGAAGCCCAUGGUGCUAGUCAUAAAUUGCAAUGCAUCAGUGUUUUCAAACUAAACAAAUAAAAUUCAUGCUGAUGUUUAU
RNAcentral lists this long non-coding RNA (1311 nucleotides) under Danio rerio (zebrafish). RNAcentral describes it as "si:ch211-42g2.1 (ENSDARG00000097511.2)". Lineage: Eukaryota; Metazoa; Chordata; Actinopteri; Cypriniformes; Danionidae. The record is from RNAcentral.